Molecule: long non-coding RNA, 275 nt
Organism: Pantherophis guttatus
Lineage: Eukaryota; Metazoa; Chordata; Lepidosauria; Squamata; Colubridae
Source: RefSeq, a predicted model, not a curated record
AUCUGCGAAAUUCGGUUGUUGUUCAAGAAUCUGUGUUGGAGACAACAAAGAGAACAUGCUUGAGUGACCGUCAAAGACUUGGGGAUUAAAGGUACGCCCAUGUAGCUGUUCCAGAGAAUGCAGCCCCUCGAAAGCCUGGCUCUGAAUGCUUUGGAUUUCGUUCUUGUAAAGGAUUAUUCGAAGACUUCAGAAGUCAUACAAUCAACUAUGAGAACCCAGCAGAUUGAUUAAUAAAAGGUGAGUUUCACAUUUAACCAUCCCCCAAUUUAUUGGGA